This is a non-coding RNA of Biomphalaria glabrata, 82 nucleotides long. NCBI's taxonomy places the organism in Eukaryota, Metazoa, Mollusca, Gastropoda, Planorbidae. The record is from Rfam.
AAUCUGUUUGAUCACAAUCUGUUUGAUCACAAUCUGUUUGAUUAAACAGAUUGUGAUCAAACAGAUUGUGAUCAAACAGAUU